CCUACGGGGUGCAGCAGUGGGGGAUAUUGCACAAUGGGGGAAACCCUGAUGCAGCGACGCCGCGUGUGGGAAGACGGUCCUCUGGAUUGUAAACUACUGCCCCCAGGGACGAAGAUGACGGUACUUGGUGAGGAAGCUCCGGUUAACUACGUGCCAGCAGCCGCGGUAAUACGUAGGGAGCGAGCGUUGUCCGGAAUUACUGGGUGAAAAGGGAGGGUAGGCGGGACGGCAGGUUGGGUGUAAAAUCUACCGGCUCAACCGGUAGCCGCACUCAAAACUGCAGUGCUUGAGUGAAGUAGAGGCAGGUGGAAUUCCUAGUGUAGCGGUGAAAUGCGUAGAUAUUAGGAAGAACCCCGGUGGCGAAGGCGGCCUGCUGAGCUGUUACUGACGCUGAGGCUCGAAAGUGUGGGGAGCAAACAGGAUUAGAUACCCGGGUAGUC
This 440-nucleotide ribosomal RNA is filed under the name uncultured bacterium. Its description in RNAcentral is "partial 16S ribosomal RNA". It matches the Rfam family "Bacterial small subunit ribosomal RNA", at positions 338 to 795 of the family's 1533-position model. The record is from RNAcentral.